UGCGGUAAUUCCAGCUCCAAUAGCGUAUAUUUAAGUUGCUGCAGUUAAAAAGCUCGUAGUUGGAUUUCGGGUGGGGCCUGCCGGUCCGCCGUUUCGGUGUGCACUGGCAGGGCCCACCUUGUUGCCGGGGACGGGCUCCUGGGCUUCACUGUCCGGGACUCGGAGUCGGCGCUGUUACUUUGAGUAAAUUAGAGUGUUCAAAGCAGGCCUACGCUCUGAAUACAUUAGCAUGGAAUAACACGAUAGGACUCUGGCCUAUCCUGUUGGUCUGUAGGACCCGGAGUAAUGAUUAAGAGG
Molecule: ribosomal RNA, 297 nt
Filed under: Chlorellaceae sp.
Lineage: Eukaryota; Viridiplantae; Chlorophyta; Trebouxiophyceae; Chlorellales; Chlorellaceae
Description: partial small subunit ribosomal RNA
Rfam family: Eukaryotic small subunit ribosomal RNA
Source: RNAcentral